UCUGAUUCUGGACAUCAGAUCAGAUCGAUUUGCAUUUUAACCUUGUACAUUCUAUGACAUUUUCUUAAUUUCAUUUGACGCUUAUUCAUGCUCAUACUUCUUUUCAUUUUGAAAAUAAGAAUUCAUAUGAUUUAAUUAAGAAACAAUUAAAUAAUGACUGUCAGUCCAGUGGUUAAAGAGUAGGUUAAAUUAAUUUAUCAAAAUUAAGUCGAGAUCAAUGCUAGCUAAGUAAUUUUAUAUGUCUCCACAGCCCAAUAGAGUCUAAAUUUGAAAGAAAUUAAUUUUUACCCGUUUUUGUUCAUUUUUGUCAAUUUGUGCAUAAAUGCGAUAAUUAAGUCACUAAAAUCCCCAAAAUCUCAAAUCUUAACCUGAAAAAUAAAGUUUUUGACACUAUUCCAUCGAGUUUAAACAAACGCGCCGUACUCUUAAGGCAAAUAAAAGUCUAGUACAUAUCUAAGGACUAGAAUCUUAUCGGAUAUUUUUUUGUACGAAUAGGCCUUACCUGAAAAUAGCGUCUUUAGUUUGCGCUUUUUUCUUGCUUCUUAAUGUUUGUUUUUAAUUUGUUUAUCUGAUUAAUGCAAUUUUUGUUUGAUUUAUAUUUCGUUCUACUUGUAAAGUUCAUUCAAUAUCUUGAGGCACCCAUGAAAUGACUCUUAUUAACCUUCAAUAUUUCAAUAUUUGUACUUUCAACUUUACCCGUUUGAACACCAACAAUGUUCUCGCCCUCAGUCCAAAACCCUCAAAAACAAGUGCUGGUAGAUCAAGCUGAGUAUGGAAAGUAAUUUAGUUUCUCACGACGACUUUAUCAACUUCAAAACAUGAUUGAUCUUAAUUUAGUUGACAAAUCGCAUAUUGGUGGAUAUCAUUGAUUGUUAUUUACUGACAAGUCACCCUAAUGUUUUUAUCGUCGCCUGUUUAAUUGUCUAACAAAAGCUCUUAUCAGAUCGACAUUUUUGGCUACCACUUUGUGACACCUUCAUUAUAAUCUCGUACCUGUUGAUUUUUAUCGACGUUUUGUCACUCAACUGAUUUCUAUGCGGUGGUUUGGAUCAUUUGUUCUGGUCACUACGCACUUUGAUCUCAUUUUUGCCAUUAGCCUGAUUUGAUGGUCAAAUUGAGUGUUAUAAAACUGGUGGCCACCAAAAGGCAAUAUAUGUGCAGCUAUUUACUGUAUUAUUAGCUUCCAAUCAACCUUAUUUUGCUUGCUCCACCUACCCGCAAACACUAAUCAUAACUAAUCCAAUAGAUUACCUUUCAUGUGAUCUUUCAACAGCUAAACAGGCCGUUUUGACGACUCAGUAAAACAAAUAUCCAAAAAGUAAACAAUUUCUGUCACCAACUAUUUACAGAAAGGCAAAGAAAAAAUGUUUUAACCAUUUCUGCAGACAAAGUGUUGUUUUUACCAAAGAUUUCAUCGUGACGCCGUCGUUGGGUAUUUUGACUCAAGCAUCGCAUUAAAACAUCUUACCUUAUGUUUAUUCAAUCCCUUGAGGCACAGAACAUUUCAAGAGCCAAUGGAAAUAUCAACAACUCAAUUUUUGCCUUAUAAGAAUCUUUCACGGAUGAAAACAAUAACUUCAAGUAACGCACAAAAAAACAAAUGAUUGAAUGUGUAUUCAUCACUUGAGAAUCACUUGUCUUUUCAUUGUCUUACUCUUUAGGUUCAAAAUUCUUGUCAAUUCAAGUAAUGAUUCCCAAGCCAGAAUUGUAGGCAUUAACAACGCUGGUACAACAUGCACGCAAAGUCAAGUGAUUAAGUGAAAGUUAAUAUUGAAACUAGAUUGACCAAGCAAUUAAUCAAGACAAAAAGCUUUAAGGCCUAAACACAACCUUGUAACAAUUAAGGUUCUCAUUGCGUCGUCCAUUACCACAUUCAAAGACUGUGAUCGCACUAUUAUUAUCAUUAUGUUGAUCAUUAUUUUUCAUCAUCGUUAGUUUUUACUAUCAUUAUGAAAUAUACGGAUCGGAAAAAAACUGAAAACAGUUUUGUUGACAGUUGUGUUUGAUCAACAAAUUACAGAUUACAAGCUGACUGAACAAGUGAAAUUGUUGAACAAAAAAUAGUAAAAAUCGAACAGAUAAAUUGCUGUAAAUCGUUAAUUGUAUUAUUAUUAUUAUUAUUAUAAUCAUUAUUGUAGCUUAUCAAACGAAAGGGUAUCACUAAAAAAUCAAGGCCAGGCUCGAUAUUUAUUUGCAGGUCAAUUUAAUUUAAACUCAACAUGAAACCUUAUUUACACCUCAGGUAAAACUCAAGUAAUAGCCUCAACAACAAUAAGCAUGAUUUUAAAUUUUCCUCAUCAUUCUUUCAUUUUAUUUCAAAUUCCCGAAUUUGAUGUAUUAUUAUUUUUAUGAGAUUGUAAGUGGAAAUUAAACGAGUUAACCAAAUUUUUUAUCCAA
Molecule: long non-coding RNA, 2397 nt
Organism: Tetranychus urticae (two-spotted spider mite)
Lineage: Eukaryota; Metazoa; Arthropoda; Arachnida; Trombidiformes; Tetranychidae
Source: RefSeq, a predicted model, not a curated record